UACAGAGGUCUCAAGCGUUGUUCGGAUUCAUUGGGCGUAAAGGGUGCGUAGGCGGCGCGGUAAGUCGGGUGUGAAAUCUCGGGGCUUAACUCCGAAACUGCAUUCGAUACUGCCGUGCUUGAGGACUGGAGAGGAGACUGGAAUUUACGGUGUAGCGGUGAAAUGCGUAGAUAUCAGGAAGACCAGUGGCGAAGGCGGGUCUCUGGACAGUUCCUGACGCUGAGGCACGAAGGCCAGGGGAGCAAACGGG
This 250-nucleotide ribosomal RNA is filed under the name uncultured bacterium. Its description in RNAcentral is "partial 16S ribosomal RNA". It matches the Rfam family "Bacterial small subunit ribosomal RNA", at positions 524 to 776 of the family's 1533-position model. The record is from RNAcentral.